AACUCCCAAAAUCAAACCCAACCUUCCUUUUGUGGUCACAAACCUUGUGUUUAAAUUUCAUUGAUUUCUAUUUACUUAUACUAAAGUUAUUGUGCGAAAACCAAGAAUAAUGCUUAUUUGGGCCUUUUUUUGGCCCUUAAUUCCUAAACUGUUGGGACCAAAACUCCCAAAAUCAAUCCCAACCUUCCUUUUGUGGUCAUAGACCUUGUGUUAAAAUUUCAUUGAUUUCUAUUCACUUUUACUAAAGUUAGAGUGCGAAAACUAAAAGUAUUCGGACAACGACGACGACGCCAACG
Molecule: long non-coding RNA, 296 nt
Filed under: Mytilus galloprovincialis (Mediterranean mussel)
Lineage: Eukaryota; Metazoa; Mollusca; Bivalvia; Mytilida; Mytilidae
Source: RNAcentral